RNAcentral lists this ribosomal RNA (458 nucleotides) under uncultured bacterium. RNAcentral's name for it is "bacterial SSU rRNA". It matches the Rfam family "Bacterial small subunit ribosomal RNA", at positions 346 to 796 of the family's 1533-position model. The record is from RNAcentral.
GCGCAGCAGUCGAGAAUAUUGCGCAAUGGGGGCAACCCUGACGCAGCAACGCCGCGUGUGGGAAGAAGGCUUUCGGGUUGUAAACCACUUUUACCCGGGACGAAAAGGGGACGUCGAAUACACGUUUCCGAUGACGGUACCGGGAGAAUAAGCCACGGCUAACUCUGUGCCAGCAGCCGCGGUAAGACAGAGGUGGCAAGCGUUGUUCGGAGUUACUGGGCGUAAAGAGUCUGUAGGUGGUUUGUCAAGUCUUUGGUGAAAGGCCGUGGCUUAACCAUGGGAAUGCCAAAGAGACUGGCAGGCUGGAGGCUGGGAGAGGGAAGCGGAAUUUCUGGUGUAGCGGUGAAAUGCGUAGAUAUCAGAAGGAAGGCCGGUGGCGAAGGCGGCUUCCUGGAACAGUCCUGACACUGAGAGACGAAAGCGUGGGGAGCAAACAGGAUUAGAUACCCGCGUAGUCC